AUCAUCAUGAUGCACUGUUAUGGCUCCCUCUAUAGGCAACCCAGGCCUUCUAAUUUAAAAGUUGCUGCAUUUGUGAUGAUUUUCAUCUUGACUGGGGAUGGUUUUUCCAGCAUCAUUUGUUAGACUAUUCUUACCUCCAUGGUGAUUCUUGGCGCCAUUGUCAAAGGCCAGCUGACUGUAUAUGUAUAUGUCACUGUGAGAUUCCCUAUGCAGAGGCCCAUGUGGCAAGAAACUGAUGUGUCCUUCCAACAACCAGGCCUGAGACCUCACAAGACCCAACUGGAUCUCCCAGACAGAGCAGGCAGAACACCAUUUCUGCUGCCCCACAGCCCUCAAAGUUGUUACUCCCCGGCUCUGGAAGGUGCUCAGUGACUAGAGACUGGUGCGGACCCCCAGCACAGUGUAGCCACCCCCAUGAAAACGUGGGAACCCUCAAGAGACAAGUGAAAAAAUCUCUCUCACA
This 463-nucleotide long non-coding RNA is filed under the name Pan troglodytes (chimpanzee). Its description in RNAcentral is "lincRNA". Lineage: Eukaryota; Metazoa; Chordata; Mammalia; Primates; Hominidae. The record is from RNAcentral.